UACGAAGGGGGCUAGCGUUGCUCGGAAUUACUGGGCGUAAAGGGCGCGUAGGCGGCUUGUUAAGUCGGUUGUGAAAGCCCGGGGCUCAACCCCGGAGAGUCGGCCGAUACUGGCAGGCUAGAGUACAGAAGAGGUAGCUGGAAUUCCUGGUGUAGCGGUGAAAUGCGUAGAUAUCAGGAGGAACACCUGUGGCGAAAGCGGCUCACUGGACCAUAACUGACGCUGAUGCACGAAAGCUAGGGGAGCAAACAGG
RNAcentral lists this ribosomal RNA (253 nucleotides) under uncultured prokaryote. Its description in RNAcentral is "partial 16S ribosomal RNA". It matches the Rfam family "Bacterial small subunit ribosomal RNA", at positions 524 to 776 of the family's 1533-position model. The record is from RNAcentral.